Unclassified non-coding RNA from Pongo abelii (Sumatran orangutan), 117 nucleotides. It matches the Rfam family "Metazoan signal recognition particle RNA". From Rfam's summary of the family: The signal recognition particle (SRP) is a universally conserved ribonucleoprotein. It is involved in the co-translational targeting of proteins to membranes. The record is from Ensembl. Lineage: Eukaryota; Metazoa; Chordata; Mammalia; Primates; Hominidae.
GCCGGGCGCGGUGGCUCACGCCUGUAAUCCUAGCAUUUUGGGAGGCCGAGGCGGGUGGAUCACCUGAGGUCAGGAGUUUGCGAACAGCCUGGCCAACAUGGUGAAACCCCGUCUCUA